CUACGGGCAGCUGCAGUGAGGAAUAUUGCACAAUGGGGGGAACCCUGAUGCAGCAACGCCGCGUGGAGGACGACGCAUUUCGGUGUGUAAACUCCUUUUAUAUGUCAAGAAAAUGACGGUAGCAUAUGAAUAAGCACCGGCUAACUCCGUGCCAGCAGCCGCGGUAAUACGGAGGGUGCAAGCGUUACUCGGAAUCACUGGGCGUAAAGGACGCGUAGGCGGGUUGGAAAGUCAGGUGUGAAAUCCUACAGCUUAACUGUAGAACUGCACUUGAAACUUCUAAUCUAGAGUAUGGGAGGGGGAGAUGGAAUUAGUGGUGUAGGGGUAAAAUCCGUAGAUAUCACUAGGAAUACCUAAAGCGAAGGCGAUCUCCUGGAACAUUACUGACGCUAAGGCGUGAAAGCGUGGGGAGCAAACAGGAUUAGAUACCCCUGUAGUC
RNAcentral lists this ribosomal RNA (439 nucleotides) under uncultured bacterium. RNAcentral's name for it is "partial 16S ribosomal RNA". It matches the Rfam family "Bacterial small subunit ribosomal RNA", at positions 339 to 795 of the family's 1533-position model. The record is from RNAcentral.